Mesocricetus auratus (golden hamster) is the source of this 105-nucleotide small nuclear RNA. Lineage: Eukaryota; Metazoa; Chordata; Mammalia; Rodentia; Cricetidae. The record is from Ensembl.
GUGUUUGCUUCGGCAGCGCAUGUGUUAAUCAGAACCAUACAGAGGAGAUGGGUGUGGUCACUGUACAAGGACAGCAGGCAAAUUCAUGAGGCACUCCAUGGUUUU